AUGGCUGCGCCGCCCUGGGACUUCGUCGGCCUCCUGUCCCGACCCGGCCUGCUGCUGGCCUCGGCAAGGCCAGCGCCUCCUCCUCCUUGCCUCGUCCGGGCUGGUAGCUGCCUCCCACGCCCCAGCAUCGUCACCUCCACCCCCUGGAACCGCUGGUUCUCCUCGUCACCGAACCGUGCGCCUUCUCCUCGCCCUGCCCCAUGUCCAGUGUGUGCGCCAUCGCCUCCUUGCUGCUGCCCGCCUGAGGUCCUUUCGUCUCGCCGGGUUUUGGAUCGACAAGAACAACACGCCAAGACCCGUACCCGGACCGUCAAGCACCUUCAAGGAAUUUGCCAAGUACCAUGA
Molecule: ribosomal RNA, 345 nt
Filed under: Triticum aestivum (bread wheat)
Lineage: Eukaryota; Viridiplantae; Streptophyta; Magnoliopsida; Poales; Poaceae
Description: partial small subunit ribosomal RNA
Source: RNAcentral